GACCCUGGAGAAAGACAGCUUGUAUACAACAGGGAAAGUCUGCAUGAGUUGCUGCAGUGCUCAUUGAUGAGACCGGGAAGAUGGUUGCAGCCCAGUGAGGAGGGAGAUGAACUUCUGACCCAAGAAUCUAGGGCUAUGACUGAAACACCAGAUGUGAAGAGGAUCAUAAAUUUCUGUUCUGUUUGGAUCUAGAUCAACAGGAGGACUGAUGGAGCCCGUCUGCCCUCAGCCUGUGCAAUUGGAUGGCUCUGCAGGACUGCAGUUCCCACAUACCCCAGUAACUCUCUACUCUGUGCCCACUGCCAGGGAGCUGCACACAUCCAUCAUAUUGUAAAGUACUCUUUUCAGUUGGCUGCUAGAGGGUCCUUCACAUUUAUGCUUUAUUUAUUUAAAAAAGGUCUAAAAUGUGAGAAGGGAAAAGUAGAAACAUAACAAAGAAACUCA
Suricata suricatta (meerkat) is the source of this 444-nucleotide long non-coding RNA. RefSeq lists it as uncharacterized. The record is from RefSeq and is a predicted model, not a curated record. The transcript is spliced from 4 exons. Lineage: Eukaryota; Metazoa; Chordata; Mammalia; Carnivora; Herpestidae.